GGAGUGCAGGUCAAGCAGAAGAGCAAGCUGGACAGAUGCAGCUGGCGGGGCCUCUGGGGUCGGAUGCUGAAGCUUCGGACACCACAUCCUCUCAGCACACAGAUGUGCAGAGUGAAGACAACAGGGAAACCCAAAGCUGACCUACAGUGGUCAGGGAAGAAUCCCAGGAAUGUGCCUUCCCAGUAUACCAUAGUUCCUGACCUACAAAUGAUGUUGAUUUUAUCGGACUCAAACUACUCUGUUGGACCCACAGGAGGUCUGACUUCUAUUCGAGGACCGUUUUGCUAUCACCUGGCUCCUCUGGUCUGGAAUCACCCCAGAGCCUUUCCUCUGUGACCUCCACUCCCUUCAUCUUUUGCUUCCUUAUAUCCUCGGAUUUUCUGACUUGACUUAGUUUCAUGGUUCUAUACCCUAAAGGUAAGCAUAGUUUUAUGUUUGGCUCUAGAAUGUCAAAAUUCUACAGAGAGAAGAAUAAUUAUCUUCAUGUCCUUUGGAACCUUCACUUCAAUUCACUUUGAAUGAAAAUGAGAGUGUCUAUGAGGAUACAUUUUUCUCCAGUCCAAACACGAAUGCCAUGCCUGAUUCUCUAUUACAUUUAGUAAAAUUAUUAUCUAAAUGGAUGUUUUUCAUUUUACUAUUCUUACCAUUUUCAUAUUUUUAAUAUGAUUUAGGUUUUCCUUUGAGGAUUAACUGUCUUAAAACCAGAAAUGUCUUGAGAAUCUCUUUUUUUCUUUCUUUUUUUUUUUUGUCUCAUUGACCUUUCUAGAGUAGAGGUGAUGACCUGUAGUCUUUUUUCCAUAUUGGCAUCUGACUUCCUGUGCCAGUUUUCGAUUCUUUACAAGGAAAGAAGUUAAUAAAGGAGAAAGAAGGAACUUUGAUGUUGCCAACUCUUAAACAAUUUAAGCUGUGACUUUACUAACCUUAAAGUAAAUGAAGCCAGAUUCAGUAGCUGCACGAUCAAAUGCUGUUACAGGAUAAUUUAGUCCAAUUGAAUAUUACGGUAAUGGGGGGAAAAUGAAUUCUCUGCACAUUGAAAUUUCUGCUUCUGCAAGAGAAUUAAACUGCUGAAUGCCCAUGUUCCCCACUGAAAAUCUCUUAGAUACACCUUAGCCUGCUGUGUGAAUGUGAAGGUCAAGUCUGUUGACUGAACUUUCUGGAAUAGAUUGUCAAUCUGGAACCACCCAUUUUUUCCCCUCUGUUCUUAAAAGCUUGUUUAUCUGUAUAGUUUUGAAGAACUAGUUUAAUUUUACAAGUGGACUAUAUUAGAAUACAGAAAAUUGUUUUCUUCACUUAGCUUUAUGAUUCCAAGGAUUCUAUGGAAUUUUCCAUUUGACUGACAUCUAGCUGAGACCCACACCUACUUACUAACCCAGUGAGAAUCUAUGUAAAUAUUUGUUAACUUUCAUUCUAGGUAGUGACUACUGAGUUUUAUAAUUUUUUUGCCUUUUUUUUUAGGGCCACACCCACAGCAUAUGAAAGUUCUCAGGCUAGGAGUCAAAUCGGAACUACACCUAUGCUAUACCACAGCCAAAGCAAUGCUAGAUCUGAGCAGAGUCCGCAACCUACACCACAGCUCAUGCCAACACUGGAUCCUUAACCCACUGAGUGAGGCCAAGAAUCAAACCUGCAACCUCAUGGUUCCUAGUUGGGUUCAUUUCCACUAUGCCAUGAGGGAAACUCCGAGUUUUAUAAUUUUAGGUAAAUAUCUUAGUUCCAAAAAAACACAUGUAAAAAAGAGGUGUAAGGAAAACUGCUGAAGGUUUAUCUUACGCUCAAGAAAACUUAUACAUAUUAUUUUCUACUCUCCAAGCCCCUGCACAAGAAGCUACAAGCACAGAAGAGUGAAUAUCUAUCCUGAGGUAGCAUAUACAAAUAGGAGAAAACUUAAAUAGUGGUCUCCAGUCACUAUAAAGUUCAGACCAAAUAAAUUGAGUAAAAAGGAAAAUUUCAUAUUCACAUGACAGGGAAUAAACAAGAGUCAGGGAGGCAGAGAACAGAAAGAAGUGGAGUGAAGUCCAGAAGAAUAAUAGAACUGAAAUUUUUAAGCGAAAAAUCUCAUAAAGGAGGUGAUAGGACAAAUUACAAAGACAGAGAAUAAUAUUUCAUCUAAGAUCAAAUUCACAGGGUUAUUUUGCAUAUUUUCAAAAAAGGAGAGAGAAAAAAGACUCUCGAUAAGUAAUUAUAUAACCCAGCAAACAAACUUCACAAAUGCAUUUGUUUCUAAAUGAAGCAAUUAUCUGAACUUCAUCUGGUAUUUGGCCCUCAAAGCAUUUCCAUCACAAAUGACUGAAUUAUUAGUGAGUGUUCAAAGAUGCUAUUAGCAGAUGCUGCCUGAGACUUGUCCAUCAGCAACAUCCAUAUAACAAUUUCCACUUAAUGAUACGGAAUAUGUUAAUUCAAACAUUUGUGUGAGAUACAGAGUGGCCCUAAGAACUUCCUACUUUAGGGUAUUAACCCCUAUUGCUUCCCAAAUCCUAGGAGUCAUCCCUGAUUUUGCACUGACUCUUGCUUAGACUCAUCCAUCUAUGCAACCAUCCAUCCAUCCAGCCAGCCAUACAUUAUCUAUCCUGAAGAAUCAUUUAUUGAGAACAUACUCUUUGCUCAAUAUAAUGCUAGGUUCAUAGGAACAUGCAAAAGAAGCAUUCAAAAUUACCCUUUACCUUAAAGAAAUAAUUUUAUAAAAAUCACAUCAGGAGUUCCAGUCUGGCUCAGUGGUUAACGAAUCCGGCUAGGAACCAUGAGGUUGCAGAUUUGAUCCCUGGACUCGCUCACUGGGUUAAGGAUUUGGCAUUGCCAUAAGCUGUGGUGUAGGUAGCAGACAUGGCUCGGAUCCUGCGUUGCUGUGGCUCUGCCAUAGGCCGGUGGCUGCAGCUCUGAUUAGACCCCUAGCAUGGGAACCUCCAUGUGCCAGGAGUGCGGCCCUAGAAAAGAAAAGAAAAAAAAAAA
RNAcentral lists this long non-coding RNA (2946 nucleotides) under Sus scrofa (pig). RNAcentral describes it as "lncRNA (ENSSSCG00035018795.1)". The record is from RNAcentral. Lineage: Eukaryota; Metazoa; Chordata; Mammalia; Artiodactyla; Suidae.